GCGACCCCAGGUCAGGCGGGGAAUCCCAAA
RNAcentral lists this ribosomal RNA (30 nucleotides) under Emblica officinalis (emblic). Its description in RNAcentral is "Phyllanthus emblica partial 28S ribosomal RNA". Lineage: Eukaryota; Viridiplantae; Streptophyta; Magnoliopsida; Malpighiales; Phyllanthaceae. The record is from RNAcentral.